RNAcentral lists this long non-coding RNA (3165 nucleotides) under Marmota monax (woodchuck). Lineage: Eukaryota; Metazoa; Chordata; Mammalia; Rodentia; Sciuridae. The record is from RNAcentral.
UAGCUAUUCAAGCAGAGAUUACCCAAGUUCUCGUGACACAAGAGAUUAUGCACCACCUCCAAGAGAUUAUACUUACCGUGAUUAUGGUCAUUCCAGUUCACGUGAUGACUAUCCAUCAAGAGGCUAUAGGUAAGUGAGUGCUUCCAUGGCUCAAGUAUAAUAUUUUAUUGUAAAAGUUGGUGCUCUGGGACUCAAAGGUUUUUCUCUUUAAUUUAGUGAUAGAGAUGGAUAUGGUCGUGAUCGUGAUUAUUCAGAUCAUCCAAGUGGAGGUUCCUACAGAGAUUCAUAUGAGAGUUAUGGUAAGAUACUGUUAAGAGUCUUGAGUUUCAGCAGCUUGAGUUUUUAGGUUCAUGAGCCAGUUUAAUAGGCUGCGUGGUGCUUGCUUUUAAAGGGACGUUUGCUUGCUUUUUUAAAGGGUUAACUAUCAGCUGGGCUUUUCCUAGUUUUGUGAGGGGCUUUUGUUCUUUCCUAAGUUUUUUUUUUUCUUUUGAGGCUGUUCGCUUGCUUUGGAGGGGAUUUUGCUUGCUUAAAUUGGCAGCCUUAUGUGUUUUCCCCCAACAGUGAAAAUACAAUUUAAAAAUUUUAUUAACAAGAUCAAAUGUUUACCAUUGCAAUAUGAAGGAAACUCUACAGUUCAAAAUUGCAACUUAUCACUGGAAAGUGGCUGAGUGUCUACUAUAAAAUAACAAGCUGGAAUAUCCUCUUGAAAUACACACCGUCUUCAGUCUUUUCAAACAAACAUUAAAAUCAAUCCAUUUCCAUAUCUCAGCAGAUGAGCAAAUCCUUGUUAUGGCCAGCAAUGGUAGAGUUUAAAACCUCCCAGUUGAGAAAGUAAACUUUUAAUACAAGAAUUCUGUAAAUUCAGAUUUAAAUGUUGUAUAUAUACAAUUUAUAGUGUUGCCAUAUUACCUGACCAUUGACCCUGCAGGUAACUCACGUAGUGCUCCACCUACACGAGGGCCCCCGCCAUCUUAUGGUGGAAGCAGUCGCUAUGAUGAUUACAGCAGCUCACGUGACGGAUAUGGUGGAAGUCGAGACAGUUACUCAAGCAGCCGAAGUGAUCUCUACUCAAGUGGUCGUGAUCGGGUUGGCAGACAAGAACGAGGGCUUCCCCCUUCUAUGGAAAGGGGGUACCCUCCUCCACGUGAUUCCUACAGCAGUUCAAGCCGCGGAGCACCAAGAGGUGGUGGCCGUGGAGGAAGCCGAUCUGAUAGAGGGGGAGGCAGAAGCAGAUACUAGAAACAAACAAAACUUUGGACCAAAAUUCCCCGUUCAAAGAAACAAACAAAAAGUGGAAACCAUUCUGUCAUAACUACCCAAGGACUACUAAAAGGAAAAAUUGUGUUACCUUUUUUAAAUUUCCUGUUAAGUUCCCCUUCAUAAUUUUUUAUGUUCUUGUGAGGGAAAAAAAGUAAAACAUGUUUAAUUUCAUUUGAUUUUGAGUUGCUUUCAACAAGCAAAUGUUAAGUGUGUAAGACUUGUUGUACUAGUGUUGUAAUUUUCCAAGUUAAAGUGUCCCUGAAGGCCACUUCCUAUCCAGUUUUACCCAGUAAAUGAGGCAAGCAAUUCUAAGAUCUUCCACAAACAUCUAGCCAUCUAGAUGUCCAUUGAUCUCCACUGAGAGAUGAAUCGUUCUGCCUAUACAAAAAAGCUAGCUAAUAGGGGGUGGUUGGGGUAUGCUACUCUUAGGAUUUCAGGGUGUCUUCCAACUGAAAUCUCAAUGUUCUCAGUAUACAAAACCUGAGAUCAGAUAUCUAUGUAAGGAAAGUACUAUUCACCCAGUAAAUCCCCCUUCCCCCCAAAAAAAACCAAAUGGAUAAUGCUGGCCAUAUUUUGCCUUUCUGACAUUUCCUUGGGAAUCCGCAAGAACCUCCCUUUCCCCCUCCCCCAAUAAGACCAUUUAAGUGUGUGUUAAACAACUACAGAAUACUAAAUAAAAAGUUUGGCCAAAACCAACCAUGAAGCUGCAAACGAUGCUUGCUCUUACUGUUUCAAAUUUUUGCAACUCUGUAGUGUCUCACUUUUAAAGGAACAGCUUGAUUGCAAAGGAGAAAAUAGAUAAGCAAUGAAGUUAUCUCCAACUUCCUAAAGGCUUAUGACUUCUAAAAAGUGAAUCUAUCAGCAUUCCACAUCAGAUUUAAAGCACCAAAUGCCUGUGAAACAGCAAAGAUGGUAAGCAAAGCAAACUAGUUUUUCCGUCUAAGUCGAAAUUGAACACUUACCUUCCUCAUAGUACAGUGAAACAUACUGUACCUCAUGGCAAUGGAAAUGUGCCUUCUAGAUUAAAAAAAAAAACCUUUUGGAAAAGCAAAUGUUCAAUAGCAUAUUAGAAGUCCUCCAAAUUCAACACUUGGAUUUUUUUUUUUAAAGCAUGUGUGACACUUAAAGGCCUUAAUACAGCUGUUUACCAGUACCAAUCUGGGGCUUGGGAGGGGGUAUUUUUUAAAGUAUUUUUGAUGAAGACCUUUAAACAUGCUUCAUAUGUUUUUAACAUUUUUUUUUUUCAAAUUAGUCUUAGUCAAUAUAAGAAAUGGCUUAGGUUUGGGGUCCCCUCUCUUACCCCUGUAAGCCAUUGCAAACUUGACCUUUAGUUGGAUGCCUGACUUGUUUUUAGUUCUAUGAAACUACACUGUAUGGAGAAAAUCUAUUGCAAGUGGUCUUUAAAAAGCAAAACCUGAGGCAGCAUGACCCAGGUCCAGCCAUGAAGUUGAAAAAGAUGCUCUUGAAUAUAGUAAACUUGAAGACCUCCAACUAAAAAUCCUUAUACGCACUUAUUCCUUCAAAUAAAUGUUUUGUCCGUUCAACUUAUGGAUUUAACGUGGCAGUGCACCAUUGGAACAGAAUGAGAAUCCAUAAGCCAUGCAACUUAACCAUUUAAGCCAUUCCAGUCCAUCCCAAGCCAGUGAAUCUUCCACUACUUAAGAGAACUAGUAGAACAUGAAAUACAUUAAUCUGGAAGUCUGAACUUGCCUUUCUGGAAAGAGGGCAGUUAUAGGCAAGUUUUAAAGUUUCCUUAAGAGAGAUAACUAGUUUUCAUCUGUUUAAUUUUUGCAGGUUGAGGACUUAUGGUCAUUGUGGUCAUGGAGUGCUGAUUUAUUCACAAUAGAUAAAGCUGGCAGCAGGAGAAAUCAAAUGCUAAGGUAAGUUUUGAAAGCACUGGCCUUU